CCUUGAAAAAUAAUUAUUAAAAUCAAAUUAUCAAAAUUGGUUAAUGAAUUUUUCUUUAAAUUAUUUUUUAAUGAGUCAAAUCCAAUUCUAAUUUGAUUUUGUCAUUUAAAAAGCUAGAGAGAUUUGCAGCACGUCCCCUGCAACUUGCAACAUGAAUGGUACUGAUGAAGCCAAUCCCUGUUCAGGAAGGAAAAGGGCAAACAUACGAUGCAAAAUUUGCCGAGUCCUAAUGAAGAAUAGAAGGAUCUACCACCUCUGCCGAGGUCGGCAAAAGCCAGAGACUGAUUUUCUAUAUUUACCAUUCAAUGUACAACAAAACCUACACGCUACAUCAAUUAAGUCACAUCUCUUUUCUUGCAGUUCCCAAACUCCUCACAAUUAGAAUCAUGCCUUCCCCAGUAUUCUGCAACCUACAUUUUGAUCUGCCAAAUCAGCUUCUCAACUUCUCCUUUUAGAUGGGAACGAAUGGUUAGGAGCCCAUAUUAGCUGCAAUUUGUUUAUCAUGGUUUGGACAUAAUGGCACAUGUUGGUUGGGCUCCAUCUGUAUUGUUAUAAAAGAAAAUUUUCCAGUUCCGUGACAUGUGCCACAACUGGUCCCUAGAACUCUUGGGAGUCCAACUCAGGUUUUGAUGGAUAUUCAAGACCCUGAAGUUCGGGCAUUCGCCGCAAAUCUUCUUCUGAAUAAGCCGGAAUGAACCAGUAUCGUUUAUCUGCCCCAAAUACCUGAGGGACAUACACCAAAAUGUUUAUUAGAGAACAAAACUGGAUGGAGAUUAAUCAAGUGCUACCAGCAGAGGAAAAGCUUCCACAAAAUAGGCAAACGCACAGAUUGAACUCAAAAGGAGGAAGGUUUAGCAACUUCACAAUUAACUUUAAUAAGGUAAAUUAAAUGUGAGUUACAUCAACACAGCCUUAACAAAAGAUUAGAUUACAUGAUAAACAACAAUUGCUUAUGAUUCAACAAGAUAAUGAACUCAUGGCAGACUGCCAAAAAAUUUUCAACAUCACUGUAACCUUGUUUUAACACAUUCCUUUUAUCUUAAGUGACACGUGCAUCUGUUCAUAGCUUUGGCCUACAAUGGCAGCCAUGCAAACACAUGGAAGCUGAGCAAGAAAAACCAUUCUGCAUGAACCAUGUCCACUCAUUCAGAUUAUUUUAAGUUCUACUCAAAUAUCAAAACAGGUGGACCAAUUCUCCUUCUUCACACUUGCCAAAAUGAAGUCAAAAUUUUUCUUGUUCACAACACAGUACCAGACAGUUAUUCACCUCAAGAUUAAAAACCCCGAUUGGAGUUCAUACUCCAUAAAAGCAGAAAACAAUUAUUUGAAUCACAGUUUGAUGACAUGGCAGCGCUUAUAAUUUAUUUCACAACUUGCAGUGCAAAACCUCUCUCUGAUCCCUAUUCAAGUCAAACGUUUCUAUGAUGUUUCGUCCAUUUUUCAGAGAUGAGUGCUGCAUCCCCAUCAUAAGAAGAUGAAGAAAGCAUUAGAGUACAUGAACCAUGAGAUAACUCCUGUGCUGGGGUUUCUCAUAUUUGUCAUAGAUGAGUUUGCCUAGAAUGCAUACAGAAAGUAAUAGUCCCUCAAGUAUAAUAAACAGAAAAGGGGUUUAAACUUUUAAUUAGACUAGAAUUGCAGAGAGUUGUGAGUUUGACCAAUUUUGAACAUAUCAUUUCUCAGAUUUCAUACAGGGCAUUCACGAAAGAAAGCCAAGCAGAGAAUAGCAAUAAACUGCAAUAAAAAGACCACCUGUUCAAAAUUCUUCCUACGACCAAGGUCAUAGCGCCAUUUCGGCGUGGUUUUCUUCUCAUAUGCCUCAAUAGUAGUCGUAUUAACAGAAACCAAUGAUAUGUGCAUGACUAGAAAUCCCAGAACACUAAAUGCAAAUGCCAGAUUCAAAACAAAGGCAAGAAAUGCGGUUGCAAGGGUCCCAGGAGUUCCAGGAAUGUCAUUAUCACUAAAGAAAGCUAUAAAUUGUGGCAGCAGUGACAAAGUCACAAGACUUGUCUCAAGAAAUGUGUAGAACAAAAAUAGAAGAAAAUAUUUAUAAUUUAAUGCCCCAACACAAUUUACGACCCAUACACAAUGAUGGUCCAUCUUUAGCACACACCUCCCACAAACAGAGCAAUGGUGGCAACGAGGUGGUUUCAGCUGGUUGCACUUCCGGCAGUACCGGAUUCUUUGAUUGGAUGGAUUGGCCGGCAGGCCAUUGAAAUCUGAGGCAUUUAAUGGGUAAGCCUCACCUCUUUCCUCUUCAACAGCAGGCCUCCAAUUAGAAGGCACACUACCAGGAUCAGUUAAAACAACAGAAAAGUAACUCCAUAAUAGCAUCACCAACUGCAAAUUUAAACAAAAUCUUCGCCUUUAAUUCCAAUUUUUAGUACACCCGAUCAAAUACUUUUUAACACUAUUCGAAGCUAAAAAAAUUCUAAGAUCCGCAACUCCCUUUGCCAAUUAAUUAACAAUCCAAGGAAAUUACACAAUUAGAAAAUGUCCACGAGCUACCGUAAUUCCAUUACUUCAUAAAAAAGAGAAAGUUCCCAUUUCUUUUUAAAAAGAAAGGGAGCUGGAAUCAAUAUUGUCUAACCAAAAACUCAAUGUGAUAGAAAAAUUCCCUUAACCGGAAGGCAGGCAACCAAAAAGCUUGAAAAAGAGUUGGAAAACUAGCAAGGAAAAAGAAAAGAAAACUUACCAAACAAUGAAAUGGGAUCAAGAGAGCAAGAGCAGUGACAGAAUCAAGCCCGCUAUCAUACAAAGCGGGGCCAUAAUUGGUCAACACAACGGCAUAAUAGGUGACACCCACAACCCCAAGCACCAACAGGAUCAUGAUCGAGCCCAGGCCACGUAGGGCCGUACAAAACUUGAAUACGUUCCAAGCCAUAGCAGCUCCAGAUCUAUGCAUAUUUCGUGUAGUGUUGUGAUUUAUGAUCUGUGAAUCUAGGGUUUAUCGGAUUUGGGAUUCCAGGUGGAGCGUGGAAUCCAUGUUAGGACACGAGGUCUGAGAAGCAGGAGAGAGGCAGGGAAGGAGAGAGUGUUUUUCUUUUUUAAUUUAUUUAAUUAUAAUUAAAUUAAUAUAAAAUAGAGAAAUAAUAAGUGAUGGUAAAGUGGAAUAAUUGCUUGAAAGAUUUUAAAAGGUCUUUG
This 3141-nucleotide unclassified non-coding RNA is filed under the name Hevea brasiliensis (rubber tree). Lineage: Eukaryota; Viridiplantae; Streptophyta; Magnoliopsida; Malpighiales; Euphorbiaceae. The record is from RNAcentral.